AUGGCCCCCUGGGGCCAAGCCAGUGCCUCCCAGGGGGCCCUGCCGGGCCCAGCGUUGGCCUUCUGGCAUCCUCUUCGUGUCCAGAACAUCUUCAGGUCGGCCUCUCUGGGCCCAGCGCCUCCUCUCAGCAGCAUCUACAGGCCCAACAUGCGAAUUUUUCUUGCAGCAACCUGUGUGGACUUGGCUCCUGCACAGCUCCCGAUGGCCUUUGUAGGCCCAAAAGCUCAGACUACCGACUCAGGCUCUCCAGGCCCACCCGGCUCAUGCCUCAUUAGUGGCCUCUCUGAGCUCAGCUCCUGCCCUCCCAGGGCAUCUCCAGGCCCCAGACAUUCCCAAGUCGGCUUCUGCCAGCCCGGCUCCUGUUGCCUCCUCCUGCUGGCCAUGGGAUGCCCAGUAUUAGGUCCUGAAUUCAGCCUCUCUAGGCCCAGCUCCUGCCCUCCUGGCGUCUCCUCCUCAUGGGCGCAAAACUUCAUCAGGUGGGUUCCUCGUACACACUGGCGUCUCCAAGACCAUCUGCUUAGUCAUGUCUGCCUCUGAAGAUGCAACUCCUGUUUUGCCGUGGACAUUUUCACCUCAGUUCCUGCCUCACGAUGGCCUCUUCGGGCUCUUCUCCUGCCUCUUAAUGGACACUCAAGUCUCAUCUCCUCUCAUGGUGGCUUUUUCUGCAGUGCACGUGCGUUAUAAUGGCCUCUUGUCGAUCCAGCUCUAUAUGUCUUUGAUUUUCAACUGCAUCUAGAAUCCCAAAGCUUCCCUGGACUCUCGUGUUUAGUUUCUCGCAGUGCGCCUUGGCUAAAUGCCUAUGUCUACUUUUAAUCUUGAAAGUGUAUUUCUGACCGAUUUGUAGUAAAUUCUGCCUGUGUCAUUUUACAGUGUGGUCUGUUUUAUUCAAUGUCUCAUUGUUUUUCUUGUCUUCUGGGGGUUCAGAGCAGAUUAAGCCUCUGCUUUGUCGGUCUGUCUUUGCCCUGGACAUGGUAGCUGCUCAUUUCAGGUCUUGUUUUUUAUAUUUUUUCCUGUUAACUUUUUUAUCCUCGUGCUCUGUCACCCAGGCUUGGGUGUCAUCAUGUGAUCAUGGCUCCACUGCAGCCUUGGCCUUUUGGCCUCCACUGAUUUUCCCCAGUCAUCAUCUUCAGUAGCUGGGACUACAGGCAGACGUUGCCAUUUCUGACUAGUUUCUGGUUUGGUUUGAGAAGUUGGUUCUCUGUUGCUCAGGCUGGUUUUUUUUUUUUUUUUGAGAUGGGGUCUCACUCAGUUGCCCAGUCUAGAGUUCAGUGGCAGGAUCUCAGCUCACUGCAGCCUUGGCCUCCUGGGUUCAAGUGAUUCUCCUACCUCAGCCUCCUGAGUAGCUGGGAUGAUAGGUGCGUGCCACCAAGACCGGCUAAUUUUUGUUGUUGUAUCGGGCCAAGCAUAGAAAGUCAACACCAAGACAAAAGUAUGCCAAAUUGCAGGGUUUAUUGCCGGCGACCACAGAGGACUCAAGUCUGUCCAGCCCAUGGCAGAGAAAGACGGGAGACAAGAUUUUUUUAUACCCGCAAAACCACCUUGGGAGUGGAGGUGAGGAGUGGGGAUGGGAUUAAAGUCUUCAGACAUUUCAGGGGCUGUAAAUCACCUUGUGGGCAGAGCGGAGGGUGAUGGGGCUCUGGACAGUCCAAGGGCCAGGCGACUUUUGUCAUUCCAGUUGCCACUUAAGUGGUUUACAGAAGUCAAGAUAAACAUUAGUUUAACAUUAUUUGGGCAGGUGUGGGGUCCACAGAUUUUUUAGUUACUUUGCAUCAGGAUGGAAUUAUCUGGGGGUGCUUCCUCUGGUCAUUACCGGUAAACAAAGGCCACCAAUUCUGGCAGUUACAGAUAAGAGAAGGUAUG
RNAcentral lists this long non-coding RNA (1860 nucleotides) under Callithrix jacchus (white-tufted-ear marmoset). Its description in RNAcentral is "lncRNA (ENSCJAG00000084033.1)". The record is from RNAcentral. Lineage: Eukaryota; Metazoa; Chordata; Mammalia; Primates; Cebidae.